GAUGAACGCUGGCGGCGUGCCUAAUACAUGCAAGUCGAGCGAACGGACGAGAAGCUUGCUUCUCUGAUGUUAGCGGCGGACGGGUGAGUAACACGUGGAUAACCUACCUAUAAGACUGGGAUAACUUCGGGAAACCGGAGCUAAUACCGGAUGAUAUUUUGAACCGCAUGGUUCAAAAGUGAAAGACGGUCUUGCUGUCACUUAUAGAUGGAUCCGCGCUGCAUUAGCUAGUUGGUAAGGUAACGGCUUACCAAGGCAACGAUGCAUAGCCGACCUCAGAGGGUGAUCGGCCACACUGGAACUGAGACACGGUCCAGACUCCUACGGGAGGCAGCAGUAGGGAAUCUUCCGCAAUGGGCGAAAGCCUGACGGAGCAACGCCGCGUGAGUGAUGAAGGUCUUCGGAUCGUAAAACUCUGUUAUUAGGGAAGAACAUAUGUGUAAGUAACUGUGCACAUCUUGACGGUACCUAAUCAGAAAGCCACGGCUAACUACGUG
This 497-nucleotide ribosomal RNA is filed under the name uncultured bacterium. RNAcentral's name for it is "partial 16S ribosomal RNA". It matches the Rfam family "Bacterial small subunit ribosomal RNA", at positions 28 to 507 of the family's 1533-position model. The record is from RNAcentral.